GUGAGGAAUAUUGGUCAAUGGGCGAGAGCCUGAACCAGCCAAGUAGCGUGAAGGAAGACUGCCCUACGGGUUGUAAACUUCUUUUGUACGGGAAUAAAGUGCGCCACGUGUGGCGUUUUGCAUGUACCGUACGAAUAAGGACCGGCUAAUUCCGUGCCAGCAGCCGCGGUAAUACGGAAGGUCCGAGCGUUAUCCGGAUUUAUUGGGUUUAAAGGGAGCGCAGGCGGAAUGUUAAGUCAGCUGUGAAAUCCCGUCGCUCAACGGCGGAACUGCAGUUGAUACUGGCUUUCUUGAGUGCACAUAAGGAUGGUGGAAUUCGUGGUGUAGCGGUGAAAUGCUUAGAUAUCACGAAGAACUCCGAUUGCGAAGGCAGCCAUCUGGGGUGCAACUGACGCUGAGGCUCGAAAGUGCGGGUAUCAAACAGG
This 425-nucleotide ribosomal RNA is filed under the name uncultured rumen bacterium. RNAcentral describes it as "bacterial SSU rRNA". It matches the Rfam family "Bacterial small subunit ribosomal RNA", at positions 354 to 776 of the family's 1533-position model. The record is from RNAcentral.